This 776-nucleotide ribosomal RNA is filed under the name uncultured bacterium. Its description in RNAcentral is "bacterial SSU rRNA". It matches the Rfam family "Bacterial small subunit ribosomal RNA", at positions 8 to 796 of the family's 1533-position model. The record is from RNAcentral.
AGAGUUUGAUCAUGGCUCAGGAUGAACGCUGGCGGCGUGCUUAAUACAUGCAAGUCGAACUGAGAGUUUUGUAGUAAUACGAAAUUUCUCAGUGGCGAACGGGCGAGUAACGAGUUGGUGACCUGCCCCGAAGUGUGGGAUAACAGUCCGAAAGGAUUGCUAAUACCGCAUGUGAUCAUUGGUUUUAGAAUCUGAUGAUUAAAGCAGUAAUGCGCUUCGGGAGGGACCUGCUUCCCAUCAGCUAGUUGGUGAGGUAAUGGCCCACCAAGGCUACGACGGGUAAGGGACCUGAGAGGGUGGUCCCUCGCAAUGGCACUGAAACACGGGCCAUACACCUACGGGUGGCAGCAGUAGGGAAUAUUGGGCAAUGGGCGAAAGCCUGACCCAGCAACGCCGCGUGCACGAUGAAGGCCUUCGGGUCGUAAAGUGCUUUUCUGAGGGAUGAGUAAGGACAGUACCUCAGGAAUAAGCCUCGGCUAACUACGUGCCAGCAGCCGCGGUAAAACGUAGGAGGCAAGCGUUAUCCGGAUUUACUGGGCGUAAAGCGUGUGUAGGCGGUUCGGCAAGUUGGAUGUGAAAGCUCCUGGCUUAACUAGGAGAGGUCGUUCAAUACUACCGAACUUGAGGGCAUCAGAGGAAGGUGGAAUUCCCGGUGUAGUGGUGAAAUGCGUAGAUAUCGGGAGGAACACCAGUGGCGAAGGCGGCCUUCUGGGAUGUUCCUGACGCUCAGACACGAAAGCUAGGGUAGCGAACGGGAUUAGAUACCCUGGUAGUCC